GACGAACGCUGGCGGCGUGCCUAACACAUGCAAGUCGAACGGGAUCCAUGGAGUGCUUGCACUCCGGAAGAUCUAGUGGCGAACGGGUGAGUAACACGUGAGAAACCUGCCCCAGACUCUGGGAUAACCUCGGGAAACCGAAGCUAAUACCGGAUAUUCUCCUUUGGUCGCAUGGCCAGUUGAGGAAAGUUUUUUCGGUCUGGGAGGGUCUCGCGGCCUAUCAGCUAGUUGGUGGGGUAACGGCCCACCAAGGCUACGACGGGUAGCUGGUUUGAGAGAACGAUCAGCCACACUGGAACUGAGACACGGUCCAGACUCCUACGGGAGGCAGCAGUGGGGAAUCUUGCGCAAUGGGCGAAAGCCUGACGCAGCAACGCCGCGUGCGGGAUGAAGGCCUUCGGGUUGUAAACCGCUUUCAGCAGGGACGAAAUGACGGUACCUGCAGAGAAGCCCGGCGUAACUACGUGCCAGCAGCCGCGGUAAACACGACGAGUA
RNAcentral lists this ribosomal RNA (495 nucleotides) under uncultured bacterium. Its description in RNAcentral is "bacterial SSU rRNA". It matches the Rfam family "Bacterial small subunit ribosomal RNA", at positions 28 to 536 of the family's 1533-position model. The record is from RNAcentral.